UAUGACAGAUUUUAAUAGGGCGAGAU
RNAcentral lists this small RNA (26 nucleotides) under Bombyx mori (domestic silkworm). Its description in RNAcentral is "ovarian small RNA-23867". The record is from RNAcentral. Lineage: Eukaryota; Metazoa; Arthropoda; Insecta; Lepidoptera; Bombycidae.